Molecule: ribosomal RNA, 381 nt
Filed under: uncultured eukaryote
Lineage: Eukaryota
Description: partial 18S ribosomal RNA
Rfam family: Eukaryotic small subunit ribosomal RNA
Source: RNAcentral
CAAUAGCGUAUAUUAAAGUUGUUGCAGUUAAAAAGCUCGUAGUUGGAUUUCUGGUUGAAGCGACCGGUCGGGCGUUGAUUCGUCUGCACUGGAGUCGGUUUUGGCCAUCCUCUAGGAAAGUGCGUCUGGUAUUAAGUUAUCGGGCGUAUGAUCCUGGUCUUUUACUGUGAAAAAAUUAGAGUGCUUAAAGCAGGCCUUCGCCUUGAAUACAUUAGCAUGGAAUAAUAAGAUAGGACUUUGGUCUAUUUUGUUGGUUUGCAGACCGAAGUAAUGAUUAAUAGGGAUAGUUGGGGGUAUUUAUAUUCCGAUGUCAGAGGUGAAAUUCUUAGAUUUUCGGAAGAUAAACUUAUGCGAAAGCAUUUACCAAGGAUGUUUUCAUUA